Long non-coding RNA from Toxorhynchites rutilus septentrionalis, 431 nucleotides. RefSeq lists it as uncharacterized. The record is from RefSeq and is a predicted model, not a curated record. NCBI's taxonomy places the organism in Eukaryota, Metazoa, Arthropoda, Insecta, Diptera, Culicidae. The transcript has 2 exons.
CUAACAGCUGUGAAGCGCGCACUUUGCAAUUGCCAUUUCUCUUUUGGUGACGAAGAUAGAUAUUCGGAGAGAACAAAAUACGGAUGAAACGUUGUGCUACCGACACUUUGUUAAUCAGCUAUCUCCGUCCCUGAAUAAUGCAAAUCAGAGCGAUGCAGCAGGAAGAGGAACGGAAACUUUUUCGAGUACUCGAGACUUUGGAAAUGCAUAUGAAAUUGAUGUGGUUGAGGCUGCGAUAGUAAUUUUCCCCUUGUACGCUGCUCAUAGAAUAAUUGAUGUUAUUAAGUACUGUUAUUAUUAUUCACAAUGAUAAUUUUUAUAUUGUAGAAUAAUUGAUACUGUUUAUAGAAUAAGUUAUAUGUUAUUAGUAUAAUGUAUUCUAAGUAUGUGGAGUUAAAUGUAAUCAAAUACAUUUUUUGAAUUAAAAAUAA